Molecule: ribosomal RNA, 372 nt
Filed under: uncultured organism
Description: bacterial SSU rRNA
Rfam family: Bacterial small subunit ribosomal RNA
Source: RNAcentral
CGUAGGUGGCAAGCGUUGUCCGGAAUUAUUGGGCGUAAAGCGCGCGCAGGCGGUUCCUUAAGUCUGAUGUGAAAGCCCCCGGCUCAACCGGGGAAGGUCAUUGGAAACUGGGGAACUUGAGUGCAGAAGAGAAGAGCGGAAUUCCACGUGUAGCGGUGAAAUGCGUAGAGAUGUGGAGGAACACCAGUGGCGAAGGCGGCUCUUUGGUCUGUAACUGACGCUGAGGCGCGAAAGCGUGGGGAGCAAACAGGAUUAGAUACCCUGGUAGUCCACGCCGUAAACGAUGAGUGCUAAGUAUUAGAGGGUUUCCGCCCUUUAGUGCUGCAGCUAACGCAUUAAGCACUCCGCCUGGGGAGUACGGCCGCAAGGCUG